GGAGGGAUGACCGAGCGGUAAGGUGCCGGGCUGCUAUCUCGAGGCCAUGGCGACGCCCUGCGCAGGUUCGCCCCUUCGCUUCCUCCG
This 87-nucleotide transfer RNA is filed under the name Actinomadura nitritigenes. Its description in RNAcentral is "tRNA-Ser". Lineage: Bacteria; Bacillati; Actinomycetota; Actinomycetes; Streptosporangiales; Thermomonosporaceae. The record is from RNAcentral.